GCGGGGAUCACCACGGUCCACCUCCACGGGAAACACGUGAAGCUCCUUCCAACGCGGCGCGAGGCUCGCUGCAGCCCGAGCUGGGGCGCAGGUCCACGGGCCCGCGGUCGCCCUGCGUGCCCACCCCAGGGGUCUGCCUGCGUGCGGCCCCAUCAGAGUUUCCAGGCGAAGUCCCGGGCCCCGGGCUGCGCGCUCCCCGCCGUCCCAACUCGGCUGCCCGCGACUUGGAGGAGCCCCGCGUGCACCGCCCCGCAAAGCGGGGACACUUCGGGGCCUCCCGCUCGCUGCGAGCCCCCCGGGGUCUCCUCGGGCAGCUUCUCGGAGGGCGCAGCGCCCCGGGGCCGGACCCCCCCCCUUCCGAGCUUGCCGUCCUCGGGGGAGGGGAGGGGGGACCCGCGAGCCCGGGGCUCCCCGGAACCGCCGCGCCGAGCCCCGAGCUCCCACCUGAGCCGGCGGCCCGAGGUGUCAGACGCGAGGGCGGGGGGGGGCCCCCGGGGAGGCCGGACCCGGGCAGGGCAGGGCAGGGCAGGGGAGGGCAGGGGGGCACCACCCCCGCCGGCCGACCUGCCGCCGCCCCCCGCCCCCGCCCCGGGCGCCAGGACCCCGGGAGCAGGCAGGAGGCGCGCCGGCGCCGGCGCCCACUUACCCGCUCGGCUGUCCCCGGCCGCGGCCGCCGCGUCCACCGAGCCGCGCGCGCCGCACUUGGCCAAAUUCAAAGGAGCCGGGCGCGGGGGGAGGGGGCCGCGGAGGGAGCGGAGCGUGGGAGCGGGGGCGGGGCGGGGCGGGGGCGGACGGCAAGUGUUACAACUUCCCUCCCCGGGCCGCGGCGGGGGCAGGGCAGCGCGCGGGAGCGCCAAUGAGUUCACUUUCUUUUCCUCCCCGGCGCGCGCUCUCCACCCCCUCCCCCUCCCUCCCUCCCUCCCUCUCCCUUCCCGCCGGGCCCUCGGAGCCUCCAGCUGGGCCCCGGAGGCCCGGCCCGAGUUUGCGGUGCUCGGCGGGGCGAGGGAGGAAGAGGAGGGGGAGGAGGAGAGGGGGAGGGAGGGAGAGGCGAGGAGGCGAGGGCGCCGCGCCGGGGAGCAGCAUCCAGGACCUUGA
RNAcentral lists this long non-coding RNA (1095 nucleotides) under Canis lupus familiaris (dog). RNAcentral's name for it is "lncRNA (ENSCAFG00040005692.1)". The record is from RNAcentral. Lineage: Eukaryota; Metazoa; Chordata; Mammalia; Carnivora; Canidae.